UCAAUGGCUGCCAGGGGUGACCUGCUGUGCCAGGCACAGGGGUGAGGGUGUCUGCUUGGGAGGGUCUGACCCUGCUGAGCCUCCUCCUCAGCCCUGCCCAUCAGGACGCAGUGUGAGGCCUUGUCCCCAAGGGCUGCCGGCAGCCCAGCAGGCAUGAGUUGUUUGUCCUCUGUCACCAACACGUGGUUUCUGCCCUCCACAGGUAUCCUGAGACACUCCCAUAUUUUCAACCACUGCCCCCCAUCAAGGAUACACAACACAGCCAAAGGAGAACAGCAAUCAAUGGCAGAAUCUCCCGAGUGCCACCAAUCACCAUGGAUUAUCAGAGCAGCAGAAGCCCCGGGCAGCGCAUCCAGGCUUCCCCCCUGAGCAGUGGGCGGCUGCAGGGCCUCGUGGCACUCCCCAACAAGACUAGUGUGACCAAGCUGCUAGGCAGGAGCAGCAAAAUCCUCCAAGGCUGGGAGGACCAGCCUCUUACAAUGGACAGGGCAGAUGGUGAGCUGUGUAUGGCCCUUUCAGUGUACCAUGUUGUGGGUG
Long non-coding RNA from Lepidothrix coronata (blue-crowned manakin), 537 nucleotides. RefSeq lists it as uncharacterized. The transcript is spliced from 3 exons. The record is from RefSeq and is a predicted model, not a curated record. Lineage: Eukaryota; Metazoa; Chordata; Aves; Passeriformes; Pipridae.